Molecule: ribosomal RNA, 465 nt
Filed under: Vreelandella stevensii
Lineage: Bacteria; Pseudomonadati; Pseudomonadota; Gammaproteobacteria; Oceanospirillales; Halomonadaceae
Description: partial 16S ribosomal RNA
Rfam family: Bacterial small subunit ribosomal RNA
Source: RNAcentral
CCUACGGGUGGCAGCAGUGGGGAAUAUUGGACAAUGGGCGAAAGCCUGAUCCAGCCAUGCCGCGUGUGUGAAGAAGGCCUUCGGGUUGUAAAGCACUUUCAGUGGGGAAGAAAGCCUUGGGGCUAAUACCCUCGAGGAAGGACAUCACCCACAGAAGAAGCACCGGCUAACUCCGUGCCAGCAGCCGCGGUAAUACGGAGGGUGCGAGCGUUAAUCGGAAUUACUGGGCGUAAAGCGCGCGUAGGCGGUUUGAUAAGCCGGUUGUGAAAGCCCCGGGCUCAACCUGGGAACGGCAUCCGGAACUGUCAGGCUAGAGUGCAGGAGAGGAAGGUAGAAUUCCCGGUGUAGCGGUGAAAUGCGGAGAGAUCGGGAGGAAUACCAGUGGCGAAGGCGGCCUUCUGGACUGACACUGACGCUGAGGUGCGAAAGCGUGGGUAGCAAACAGGAUUAGAUACCCUAGUAGUC